RNAcentral lists this ribosomal RNA (475 nucleotides) under Mogannia hainana. Its description in RNAcentral is "partial 16S ribosomal RNA". The record is from RNAcentral. Lineage: Eukaryota; Metazoa; Arthropoda; Insecta; Hemiptera; Cicadidae.
GUCUUUUAGAUUAUAUUAAAAGUCUAAUCUGCCCAAUGAUUUUUUAAUGGCCGCGGUAAACUGACCGUGCGAAGGUAGCAUAAUAAUUAGUCUUUUAAUUGAAGGCUUGAAUGAAUGAUUGGAUGAAAAGCUAUCUUUAUUAAUUUAAAAAUUUUAAUUUAACAUUUAAGUAAAAAGGCUUAAAUAUUUUAGUGGGACGAGAAGACCCUAUAGAAUUUAAAAUUCAUAUUUAUUAGAUACAUUUAGAUCAAUAUUGAAUUUAAUAACUAAGUAUUUUUUGUUGGGGUGACAUUAAAAUAUUAAUAACUUUUAAUUAAAUUUUCAUAGAUUAGUGAUAAUUAGAUCCAAAUUUUUUGAUUUCAAGAUUAAAUUACCUUAGGGAUAACAGCGUUAUUAUUUUAAAAAGUUCUUAUUGAUAAAAUUAGAUUGCGACCUCGAUGUUGGAUUAAGAAAAGAGCUUGGUGCAAGCUUUAAG